GACGAACGCUGGCGGCGUGCUUAACACAUGCAAGUCGAACGGAAAGGCCCUGCUUUUGUGGGGUGCUCGAGUGGCGAACGGGUGGGAAACACGUGAGUAACCUGCCCUUGACUUUGGGAUAACUUCAGGAAACUGGGGCUAAUACCGGAUAGGAGCUCCUGCUGCAUGGUGGGGGUUGGAAAGUUUCGGCGGUUGGGGAUGGACUCGCGGCUUAUCAGCUUGUUGGUGGGGUAGUGGCUUACCAAGGCUUUGACGGGUAGCCGGCCUGAGAGGGUGACCGGCCACAUUGGGACUGAGAUACGGCCCAGACUCCUACGGGAGGCAGCAGUGGGGAAUAUUGCACAAUGGGCGGAAGCCUGAUGCAGCAACGCCGCGUGCGGGAUGACGGCCUUCGGGUUGUAAACCGCUUUCGCCUGUGACGAAGCGUGAGUGACGGUAAUGGGUAAAGAAGCACCGGCUAACUACGUG
Molecule: ribosomal RNA, 468 nt
Filed under: uncultured bacterium
Lineage: Bacteria
Description: partial 16S ribosomal RNA
Rfam family: Bacterial small subunit ribosomal RNA
Source: RNAcentral